AUUGAACGCUGGCGGCAUGCUUUACACAUGCAAGUCGAACGGUAACAGGGAGCUUGCUCCGCUGACGAGUGGCGAACGGGUGAGUAAUGCAUCGGAACAUGCCCAGUCAUGGGGGAUAACUACGCGAAAGCGUAGCUAAUACCGCAUACGCCCUGAGGGGGAAAGGUGGGGGAGUCUUAGGACCUCACGUGAUUGGAGUGGCCGAUGUCAGAUUAGCUAGUUGGUGAGGUAAAGGCUCACCAAGGCGACGAUCUGUAGCGGGUCUGAGAGGAUGAUCCGCCACACUGGGACUGAGACACGGCCCAGACUCCUACGGGAGGCAGCAGUGGGGAAUUUUGGACAAUGGGCGGCAAGCCUGAUCCAGCCAUGCCGCGUGAGUGAAGAAGGCC
RNAcentral lists this ribosomal RNA (389 nucleotides) under uncultured bacterium. Its description in RNAcentral is "bacterial SSU rRNA". It matches the Rfam family "Bacterial small subunit ribosomal RNA", at positions 30 to 416 of the family's 1533-position model. The record is from RNAcentral.